UACGAAGGGGGCUAGCGUUGCUCGGAAUCACUGGGCGUAAAGCGCACGUAGGCGGCUUUCUAAGUCAGGGGUGAAAUCCUGGAGCUCAACUCCAGAACUGCCUUUGAUACUGGGGAUCUCGAGUCCGGGAGAGGUGAGUGGAACUCCGAGUGUAGAGGUGAAAUUCGUAGAUAUUCGGAAGAACACCAGUGGCGAAGGCGGCUCACUGGCCCGGUACUGACGCUGAGGUGCGAAAGCGUGGGGAGCAAACAGG
Molecule: ribosomal RNA, 253 nt
Filed under: uncultured bacterium
Lineage: Bacteria
Description: partial 16S ribosomal RNA
Rfam family: Bacterial small subunit ribosomal RNA
Source: RNAcentral